AAGCGUCUGCAGGUUCCACGAAAAGUCUGAUGUAAAAGCACUGGAGCUCAACUCCGUGUACGUGUCGGAAACUCUCGUGGUAGAGUCACUCAGAGGUAUCUGGAAUGCCGUGUGUAGGGGUAAAAUCCGUAGAUCCACGGUGGAACGCCUAAAGCGAAAGCAGGAUACUGGGAGUGUACUGACACUCAGAGACGAAAGCGUGGGGAGCAAAGGGGAUUAGAUACCCCCGUAGUCCACGCCCUAAACGAUGCGGGCUCGGUGUAGGAAUUUUCAAUAUUUCCUGUGCCCAAGCUAACGCGGUAAGCCCGCCGCCUGAGAAGUACGGCCGCAAGGCUAAAACUCAAAGGAAUAGACGGGGACCCACACAAGCGGUGGAACAUGGGGUUUAAUUCGAUGGUAAACGGAGAACCUCACCCAGGCUUGACAUCUUUGGAAUCCCGAUGAAAGUUGGGAGUGCCGCAAGGAACCAAAAGACAGGCGCUGCACGGUUGUCGUCAGCUCGUGCCUUGAGGUGUACUGUUAAGUCAGCGAACGAGCGCAACCCUCAUCCUCUGUUGUUUUUUCAGGGGAGACUGCCGCCUCCAAGGCGGAGGAAGGUGGGGAUGACGUCAAAUCAGCGUGGCCUUUAUGCCUGGGGCUACACCCAUGUUACAAUGGACGAUACAGAGGGCAGCGAACCCGCAAGGGGGAGCCAAUCCCAUCAAAGUCGUUCUCAGUUCGGAUUGCCGGCUGCAACUCGCCGGCAUGAAGUUGGAAUCGCUAGUAACCGUAGGUCAGCGAUACUACGGUGAAUAAGUUCCUGGGUCUUGUACUCACCGCCCGUCAACUCAUGGGAGGCAGGGGCACCCGAAAGGACCGUUACCUUUAGUGGGCGGUACCACGGUGACACUGCUGACUGGGAGUAAGUCGUAACAAGGUAA
Molecule: ribosomal RNA, 920 nt
Filed under: uncultured bacterium
Lineage: Bacteria
Description: bacterial SSU rRNA
Rfam family: Bacterial small subunit ribosomal RNA
Source: RNAcentral